CAUCAUUUAAGAAAACACAACAAGAUUUUGCAGUUCAAGCAGCUCUCUUCCUGGCUUAUUUGGUAUAGGCUGCUGGACACAGAGGAAAGCCUCCAAGCUUGUUGUGAAAUGUCUGUGCUGACAGAAAAGGAACAGCUGAGGAGAGAUAAUGGUACAAUCUCUAAGAUCUGUACAUCCUAGAUGAAUGUGAAGCUUUCAUUGCUGUCAAGUUUCAUUCUGGUUUAAAGAAGAAAAAGAAAAGAGAAAAAAGCUGAAAUGUACAUAUAGAGAAGAAUUUGCAAUUAGAAGUUCACCACAGCUAGAAGAUGUGGGAAAACAGCUGAAAAAUGCCCUGCUUUUGACUUUGACUUAGAGCAGAAAUGUUUUUGUUUGUUUCAAAGCAAUGUAAUAAGGUGAAGAAAGGUCAAGGAAGAGCAUCUAGUGAAAGAUGUCUCUGGCAUGACUGCAGGACAUGGGAGCCUUGACUUGAAGGCAUGCAGGGCAAGACUACAAUGACUUCAUCUUUACUCUGAGAAGGACUGAAAUAGGGGAAAAAGGGGACUAGUGUCUCUCACCCUAACAUAACAUAAAAAUUCCUGCUUGCACUGACUGUCUUCUUCAGGAUUUCUCCAAGGUCAAUACCGGAAAUGUUCUCUUGUGAAUUCUGAAAAUUCCAUAUCACAGAAUCAAAUGAAUAUAUAAGUGUUUCACCUAGCCAGCA
This is a long non-coding RNA of Pezoporus occidentalis (night parrot), 700 nucleotides long. RefSeq lists it as uncharacterized. The record is from RefSeq and is a predicted model, not a curated record. The transcript is spliced from 3 exons. Lineage: Eukaryota; Metazoa; Chordata; Aves; Psittaciformes; Psittacidae.